RNAcentral lists this ribosomal RNA (614 nucleotides) under uncultured bacterium. RNAcentral describes it as "bacterial SSU rRNA". It matches the Rfam family "Bacterial small subunit ribosomal RNA", at positions 338 to 944 of the family's 1533-position model. The record is from RNAcentral.
CCUACGGGAGGCAGCAGUGGGGAAUAUUGCGCAAUGGGGGAAACCCUGACGCAGCAACGCCGCGUGAGUGAGGAAGGACUUCGGUCUGUAAAGCUCUGUUAAUGAGGAAAAAUGGUAGUUGGUCUAAUAGGCCGAUUAUUUGAUGGUACUCAUAGAGGAAGCACCGGCUAACUUCGUGCCAGCAGCCGCGGUAAUACGAAGGGUGCAAGCGUUGUUCGGAUUUAUUGGGCGUAAAGCGCGCGUAGGCGGACCCGCAAGUCAGAUGUGAAAUCUCGAGGCUCAACCUCGAAACUGCGUCUGAAACUACGGGUCUAGAAUCUCGGAGGGGGAAGGGGAAUUUCGCAUGUAGGGGUAAAAUCCGUAGAUAUGCGAAGGAACACCAGAGGCGAAGGCGCCUUCCUGGACGAGUAUUGACGCUGAGGCGCGAAAGCGUGGGGAUCAAACAGGAUUAGAUACCCUGGUAGUCCACGCUGUAAACGAUGAACACUAGGUAUUGGAGGAUUUGACCCCUUCAGUGCCGUAGCUAACGCGUUAAGUGUUCCGCCUGGGAAGUACGGUCGNAAGAACUAAACGUCAAAGGAUGAGNGUGNGNGNGCGAGNGACACGAGGAGAGG